GCCGGCGUUCGGCCGAAUGGUAAGGCCAUGGCAAACCAUGUCUUUAAUUAGACUGCGGGUUCGACUCCCGUCGUCGGCA
RNAcentral lists this transfer RNA (79 nucleotides) under Mesorhizobium sp. 131-3-5. RNAcentral's name for it is "tRNA-Gly". It matches the Rfam family "tRNA". From Rfam's summary of the family: Transfer RNA (tRNA) molecules are approximately 80 nucleotides in length. Their secondary structure includes four short double-helical elements and three loops (D, anti-codon, and T loops). Lineage: Bacteria; Pseudomonadati; Pseudomonadota; Alphaproteobacteria; Hyphomicrobiales; Phyllobacteriaceae. RNAcentral also lists the same sequence under 1 other name. The record is from RNAcentral.